Molecule: ribosomal RNA, 745 nt
Filed under: Serrasentis sagittifer
Lineage: Eukaryota; Metazoa; Acanthocephala; Palaeacanthocephala; Echinorhynchida; Rhadinorhynchidae
Description: SSU rRNA
Rfam family: Eukaryotic small subunit ribosomal RNA
Source: RNAcentral
UAACUGUAAACUGUGCCAGCUGGGCAUUCGCCAACGCUUUAUCUUGGCGAGCACUCUCCGGGAAACCAAAGUGAUCGGGUUCCGGGGAGAGUAUGGUUGCAAAAUCGAAACUUAAAGGAAUUGACGGAGGGGCACACCAGAAGUGGAGCCUGCGGCUCAAUUUGACUCAACGCACGAAAGCUUACUCGGUCCGAACACUGCGAGGAUUGACAGGUUGAAAGCUCUUUCUUGAUUCAGUGGGUAGCGGUGCAUGGCCGUUCGUAGUUGGUGAAGUGAUUUGUCUGGUUUAUUCCGAUAACGAACGAGACUCUAGCCCAUUAAUUAGCGUGGCGAUUCUGUGUCGUCAUUGUGCUUCUUAGAGGGACAGGUGCUGCUUAAGCACACGAAGCUGAGCAAUAACAGGUCUGUGAUGCCCUUCGAUGUUCGAGGCUGCACGCGCGCUACAAUGGAGGGUACAGAGCGCACAACGCUUCCCGGCAGGGACGCGGAACCGAAAAUGCCCUUCGUGACUGGGAUCGGGGAUUGAAAUUGUUUCUCGUGAACGAGGAAUUCCUAGUAAGCGCGGGUCAUUAUCUCGUGUUGAUUAAGUCCCUGCCCUUUGUACACACCGCCCGUCGCUACUACCGAUGAAUGGUUUGGUGAGGUCUGCGGAUAGGUGUCGCUGGGGCUUCGGCUACCGGUUGCACUUCCUUAAAGUUGAUCGGACUUAAGCGUUUAGAGGAAGUAAAAGUCGUAACAAGGUUUC